This 2048-nucleotide long non-coding RNA is filed under the name Homo sapiens (human). RNAcentral's name for it is "RNF217 antisense RNA 1". Lineage: Eukaryota; Metazoa; Chordata; Mammalia; Primates; Hominidae. The record is from RNAcentral.
GCUCCGAGGCGGGGGCCUCGGGCAGGUCGCUCUCCACGCAGUACACGGAGCAGAAGACUUGUCUCUUGGCGAGGGACGGGCGCCGCUGACCCAGCACGUCCAGGACCAGUCCGUCGGCGGCCCCCACGCGGGUCCUGGGCUCCAGCUCUUCGCCGGGGGGCGCCUCCUGCUGUUCAUCCCCUCCCUCUUUUCGAUCCCCAGCUUCCUCCUCUUCCUCCUCCAGCUCCAACUGCAGUGGCAAGGUCUGGGGAUUGAGAGGCCCGGCAUGACUAAGAGAUAUCGUGAAAUUACAACUCAACAAUGAAUUACAGCACAGGCUUUUCACAACUAAGAGACUGUCCAUCAUGGUGCCAGUUUUUCUCAAAAUGGCAUGUGUGCAUGAAAUUCUACAGGCAUAUGGGGUCGUGAUCUGCUAAUCUCCAGUUAUUAUAACUACUUUGAAAAGGGACUUUCCAGCUAUCAGUACACUAUCUCACAAUUACCCUUGAACCAGAAGACAAUGAAUGAUUUGCUAAACAGAUGGCAUAGUCUAUGACAUGCAUCAUAUGUGUGAGCAAUCACAGAAGACUCCUUCCUGUUGCCUUGUGAAGAAGGCUCCUGCUUCCCCUUCACCUUCUGCGCGAUUGUAAGUUUCCUGAGGCCUCCUAGCCAUGCUUCUUGUUCACUCUGCGGAACUACCAAAUUAUGAUUGUAUGUCCCAGAAAUUCACUUAGAAGCUAAUAGAAAAAAUGAAACCAAAGCCUUUUGAUAAGCAGAGGAGAUUUGGGAAGUCAAAGUUCAAUCAAAGUCAUUUGGAUGAAAUAGGAAGAAGGCAUUAUGAGAAUAGAGUUGAAAAUUUAUCAUGACAUAUGCUGGCUGCACAGUCAAAACUUAUCACUGCCCACGACUUCGGAAGCAUGACAGGAGAGCUGUGGGAGCCACUUCCUCGUCAGACGUGGUUUGAUAUGUCAAGUGAGAACCUGAGUAAAGCAAAGAGGUGAACUAUGACUUGGAAUCCUCCAGGCUUUGGCUUCCAUCACACUCCAUGAACUUGAUGCACAUAAUUUAAUGUAGGCCUCCACCCAAUAUCAUCAGUUCUCUUGCAUGUUGAACCCCCAGUUUCCUGGAUCUGACCAACAUGACCUUAAUGUUCCUAUCAGCUCGACUAAACUUUAAAGAGAUUUCUUCCUCAAUAUGGGCCUCUAACUUCCCUUUUCUUAGAGCAUUUACUUUAGAAAUUUUGCAAUUAUCAAUUUUUUCUCCCUAUUUUUGAGAUGUAAAUUUUCUACAACUCAGGAAUGUCUUUCUCAAGGACAUGAGAGAUAUCCCUUUGAAAUGUAAUUGUGAAAAAUGAUAGCACCUCUAUUUCAAUCUGUGUAGGAGAGUAGGAGCCUAACUCAGGUAAGUGACAUUUAGCAAACUCAGAUGGCCUAAACACAUUCACCAACUUCCCCACUAAUGUACUCCCUACUGGUUCAUGUCAGCAUUUAAUAAUCCUUCUGCUUUCUUUUCAGUGGAGCUGAGUUCAGUCUGUCUCUCUUCUGCAGUGGUCUUCUCUCCCAUUGCAAUGGUCUUGAGUAAAGUGUUCUUUGUUUGUUUUACUUGGAGAUGAUGUCAGUUCAAUAUUGAAGUCUCUCUUCCCUACUACAGUAGUUCAAAUAAAAUCCAUCUUGCCAUUCUUAACAAGUAUUGGUAUAAUUUCUCUUUAACAUUUCUCGUGUCUUUCUCUUAAUUGGUUUCUUCUCUUGUUUUACAGAGCAUGUUAGUCACUAGUUUCUUAAGUCUGAUGAAUGUGCUUUCAUUACAUUUUUAUAUUAAUUGACUGAUAUUUUGGAUGGACACAUUUAUACUGCUUGGUUAAAUACGAUUUUCUCUCAGAAUCAUGUGGAAAUUUCUCCGUUAUUUUCUAGUUUCUGUUUUUGCAGUUGAGAAGUCCAAUAUCAUUUUGCUUCCCUACAUUUUUAAAAAAUGUAACCUGUUUCCAUUCUUUCUUUCUUUUGGUAUUUUGCAUCUGUUUUUAAAAAAGCAAUGAUAUAGUUCCAAAACCAUUGAAGAGUAUAAAGGAUAUU